This 492-nucleotide ribosomal RNA is filed under the name uncultured bacterium. Its description in RNAcentral is "partial 16S ribosomal RNA". It matches the Rfam family "Bacterial small subunit ribosomal RNA", at positions 29 to 507 of the family's 1533-position model. The record is from RNAcentral.
AGUGAACGCUGGCGGUAGGCCUAACACAUGCAAGUCGAACGGCAGCACAGUAAGGGCUUGCUCUUACGGGUGGCGAGUGGCGGACGGGUGAGGAAUACAUCGGAAUCUACUUUUUCGUGGGGGAUAACGUAGGGAAACUUACGCCAAUACCGCAUACGACCUACGGGUGAAAGCAGGGGAUCUUCGGACCUUGCGCGAUUGAAUGAGCCGAUGUCGGAUUAGCUAGUUGGCGGGGUAAAGGCCCACCAAGGCGACGAUCCGUAGCUGGUCUGAGAGGAUGAUCAGCCACACUGGAACUGAGACACGGUCCAGACUCCUACGGGAGGCAGCAGUGGGGAAUAUUGGACAAUGGGCGCAAGCCUGAUCCAGCCAUACCGCGUGGGUGAAGAAGGCCUUCGGGUUGUAAAGCCCUUUUGUUGGGAAAGAAAAGCAGCAGGUUAAUACCCCGCUGUUCUGACGGUACCCAAAGAAUAAGCACCGGCUAACUUCGUG